UCCGGCUUAUCACCGGCAGUCCCUCUAGAGUGCCCAACUCAAUGCUGGCAACUAAAGGCGAGGGUUGCGCUCGUUGCGGGACUUAACCCAACAUCUCGCGACACGAGCUGACGACAGCCAUGCAGCACCUGUGCUAGCCCCCGAAGGACACGGGCUUUCACCCGCUUUAACUAGCAUGUCAAGCCCAGGUAAGGUUCUUCGCGUUGCAUCGAAUUAAGCCACAUGCUCCGCCGCUUGUGCGGGCCCCCGUCAAUUCCUUUGAGUUUCGGUCUUGCGGCCGUACUCCCCAGGCGGGGCGCUUAAUGCGUUAGCUACGGCACGGAAAACAUGAAUGCUCCCCACACCUAGCGCCCAACGUUUACAGCGUGGACUAC
RNAcentral lists this unclassified non-coding RNA (374 nucleotides) under uncultured bacterium. RNAcentral's name for it is "contains 16S-23S intergenic spacer region". The record is from RNAcentral.